GUUACCGACCCCGCGCCGCCCGCGGCCCGCGCGCCCCUUCCCGGACAGUUCCUCUCGGCGCCCCCGAGUCCUCCCCGCGCGCCGCUUCCCGGGUGGGCCCUUCCACCAGAACCCCCUGGUAGAUCCUCCCCUGGUGCCCUGGGGGUAGAGGGGAGAUCCUCCACAAGGGCCAUUUCCCUGGUGAUCCCUCCCUGUGCCCCACAGGUGAGUCCUGCCGUAGCUCUCCAGGGGUUCCUCCUGAUGCUGGGGUCCUCCGGCAUUCCUCCCUGAGCCCCCCAAGGGCCCUGAAGCUCAGCGGCCCAGCCCUGGCCUCGGGGUCCCCACCCCACACCUCCCUUCCAGGCCUAACCUUUGCCCCCGACACCAGGCAGGGCGUGUCCUUGGCCUUCGCCGCCCAGCCCGCGUGGCAUCUCUGGACAGGUGGUCGUGCGCGCCUUGGUGUGGGCAGGCUCCGUAGCCGGCAAAGCCUCCCUGAACCGUGACCUGGUGAGAAGGCCGCAGAGGAGGUGCCUGUGCCCAGAGGCCACCUCCAAAGACCCCACCUGAGGCUGGAACCCAGCGCCUGCUGACCCCGCCAGCCCCAACAGGGCUGGAGUCCAGGAGCGGCCGUGCUCUUUCCGCAGUGAGGCAGCUGCCUUCUCUUCCCACCACCUGUCAGGAUGCCUUCCCGUGUGUGCUUGUGCACAGGUCUAAGGAGAGGAGAGUCCAGUGAGUGACCCAGACGCCCCAGCCAGGAAGAGCAUGAGGAAAGCAAAGCUGCAGCCUGAGAUCUCCUUCCACCAACUCCUGGCAUGGCCAGAAAGUUAGCCAGAAACACCAGAAAGUGCCAGGCAGCUAGGAAGCAUGGGGAGAGCCCCCUGAAGCUGCGUGUGUAGUGCCUGCUUCCGCUGCCAUCCCAGAAAUGGACGAGCUUCACCCUGAGAACCCAGCCACACCACUGGGACACAUCCUGACAGUGACAUGCACACUCUUCCCUGGCCCCAGCCUGGAGAGGAGCCUCCUGAAGACACCAGCCUUUGCUCCUUCUCCCAGUGGGAGUGGAGAGAACUGACUGCUGGAGUGGAGACAGUCAAGGCUGUCCUUCUGAGGGAGCACAGCACAGGGUCUGGUGUCCCAGGGAGGCAAUCUGAAAUUCAAGCCAGGCCUCCCCAGCGGAGAGGACACACCCCUCACCAUGCAGAGUGACGUUUAGUAAACUCUCAAAAGAGAGCACAGAGCCCCACUCCUCCAGCCGACCCAUACUCUGCCUCCCCACUCCAGACCAGUGAACAAGGUGGAUUGCCCUUAAGCCAGCUCAGAGGCAAAGUCCAAAGACCUCAGGUGAGUCAAACAAUAAAAACAAAGAAUUAAGAAGAAUCCAGCUGGGUGCGGUGGCUCACGCCUGUAAUCCCAGCACUUUGGGAGGCUGAGGCGGGAGGAUCACGAGCAGGAGGUCGAGACCAUCCUGGCUAACACGGUGAAACCCCGUCUCUACUAAAAAUAGAAAAAAUUAGCUGGGCGUGGUGGCGGGCGCCUGUAGUCCCAGCUACUCCGGAGGCUGAGGCAGAAGAAUGGCGUGAACCCAGGAAGCGGAGCUUGCAGUGAGCCGAGAUCAUGCCACUGCACUCCAGCCUGGGCGACAGAGCGAGACUCCGUCUCCAAAAAAAAAAAAAAAAAAAAAAUCCAUCCACUCCAUCCACUUAGUAGCAGAGCGAAUAGACAUUCAGGAAAGAGCUUUCACGUCAGAAAGCACUACAGAAGUAGUGGCAUAUCCCCGGAGGCUGAGGUGGGAGCAUUGCUGAGAGGUGGCACGUGACCACAUCCAUGUCAUUCAACAACAGAAAAACAAGUCAUCGAGGGUGUGAGGGGCCGGUGAGAAACCCAGUAUGGAAGAAAACACAACUGGGCUGAGCGUGGUGGCUCACGCCUGUAAUCCCAGCACUUUGGGAGGCCAAGGCAGGAGGAUCACCUGAGGUCAGGAGUUCGAGACCAGCCUGGUCAACAUAGUGAAACCUCAUCUCUACUAAAAAUACAAAAAAAUUAACUGGGUGUGGUAGCGCGUGCCUGUAGUCCCAGCUACUCCGGAGGCUGAGGCAGGAGAAUUGCAUGAACCCAGGAGCCGAGACCACACCACUGCACUCCAGCCUGGGGGCGGCACAGUGAGACUCCGUCUCAAAGAAACAAAAAUAAAAAAUAAAUAAAUAAAUAAAUAAAUAAAUAAGAAAACGCAACCAAAGAAACAGAAGAGGACUCCACAGGACUUCUUUCAGAGCUUCAUAGCAGCAUGAAUUCAACAAUCAGGAAUUCAAAUGCUUGACGACAAAACAGCAGGAUGGGAGGAAGAGUUAAGAGCCAAGCAAACCGGAAGCACCAAAAUCGCACCGUGGCUGGAUCAAGUCAUAAACAGCAAAGGGCAGAAUAUCAAGUUACUUGGAGAUGAAAGGCUUGAGAUAAUUUCAGAGCAAGACAAAGUGAUUAACACAAUAAUUUACUCAUUGAUUAUUUGUUAAACAUCUACUUCAAGCUACAGGCCACUCUAGGCCUUGGAGGGUAAGGAAACAGCACCUUUGCCCUCAGAGGGUUUGCAAUCUAGCAGGGAGGGGAACAUAAUAAAGUGUAUAAAACCAGGGCUCUGGCUCUGAAGUUCCAGCACUUUGGGCAGGUCACUUGAACCCAGGAGUUUGAGACCAGCCUGGGCAACAUAGUGAAAACCCAUCUCUACUGAAAAAUAUAAAAAUUAGCGGGGCGUGGUGGUGCAUGCCUGUAGUCCCUGCUACUUGAGAGGCUGAGGCAGGAGGAUAGCUUAGGCCUGAGAGGCAUAGUUCGCAGUGAGCCGAGAUAGCACCUCUGCACUGCGGCGUGGGUGGCAGAGCAAGACCCUGUCUAACAACAACAACAAAAACUGAUCUUAAGUCCAGCCAGUAAAGAUGUAAAUCAAAACAAAGACUUUCAGUGGGUCAAAUACUGGCGGUGAGCCUUGAUCUUCUGGUAAGAAAUGCCCUGCCAGGGGAUAUGGAAAUGUCAGUGCCAGUUCCUCACCAUUCACAGGCAGAAGUCAGCCGGUGCCGCCUCAGCCGAACCGUGCUUUGCUGCUGUAAACCAAACACACUCAUCUCUUGAUGUUUUUGUAAUUUCUAAAAAUAAUCGUAGAAGACUUUUUUUUUUUUUUUUUUGGAGACAGGGUCUCACUCUGUCACCCAGGCUCAAGUGCAGUGGGCCUAUCUCGGCUCACUGCAGCCUCGACUUCCUGAGCUCAAGCGAUCCUCCCACCUCAGCCUCCCAAGUAGCUGGGACUACAGGAGAGCACCACCACGCCCGGCUGAUUUUUGUAUCUUCAGUAUGGAUGGAGCUUCCCUUUGUUGCCCAGGCUGUUCUCCAACUCCUGAGCUCAAGCGAUCUGCCUGCCUUGGCUUCCCAAAGUGCCGGGAUUACAGGCCUGAGCCACGGCGCCCGGCCAUCGUAAGGAGACUUUUAAACUUGAGGUGAAGAAGCAUUCAUCUGCUUUUAGCAAUUUUUUUCUUUAAAUAUUUAAAAGUCUAUAAGUAGCAACUCGACACGUAUUUCUGUAUUUCCAUUACAUCCUUUUAUCUCCCCAUAUACAUUUAGAAAUAUCUGGGAUAACCUUUAGGUAAUGUUAACAGCUGUUAUUCCAGGGAGGACACUGGGCGCGUUUUUAAAGCUGUAUUCGUUGCUGUAUUAAUAGCAAGCGGUGUUUCUGCAAAGCCAAGGAAGGCGUUUCUCCAGCGGGGCCGCGUCGGGCAUUGUCUGGUGCGCCGGGGAAGGCCGCGAACUACAUCUCCCAGGCGCCCCGCGCCCCGUUCCGCGCCCCGCGCCCCCGCCCGCGCGGCUCCUGCUGUGGUGCCGGAGCGUCCUCGGCUCGGUCCGGAGCCAGCCGGAGUCACAAUUCGAAUCGGGCGUGGGAAGCCCGGGGGACCACGCGGCCAACCCUGGGCGGACCUGCGCGCCGGAGACCGCGUCCCCGGGAGCCCCCAAACGCUACCCCGCGCGGCCGCCCGUGGCGCUGCGGAGGCCUGCGGGUGGGGAGGCGCAGUGGCGGCCGGGGCGACGGCCUAAGCACCACACUACUGCUGCGAGACUUCGGGGGAUCCCCACUCCCCUCCCAGGAUCCUUCCCACUCCCCUCCCAGGAUCCUUCCCACUCCCCUCCCAGGAUCCUUCCCACUCCCCUCCCAGGAUCCUUCCCACUCCCCUCCCAGGAUCCUUCCCACUCCCGAGACUGCUUCUUCUGUCCCCUUGAUUCCACGCGCCUCAGAGACCCUCCCUCUGCCGUCCCGCGAAGAGCGCGCCCCUCCCCUUGCAAGGCACCAGUGGAACACUCAUGUAACCCCAGCUACUCAGGAGGCCGAGGCAAGAGGAUUGCUUGGGUCAAGGAGUUCAAGACCAGCCUGAGCAACAUACCAAGACUGUUUCUCUAUAAAAACUUACAAAAAAAAAAAUAAAGGCCGGGUGUGGUGGGAUGCACCUGCAGUCCCAGCUACCCAGGAGGCCAAAGUCGGGGGAUCACUUGAGUCCAAUAGUUCAAGACCAGCCUGGGCAACAUAGCAAGCCUGCCCCCCGCUCCGCCCCAACCACCAAAAAAAGAAAAAAGAAAAAGAAACCAAACCUACUGAAUUUGUGGCAAUUUUUAUGGCAGCUACAGAAAACUAGUACACAAAUCCCAGUUGUGACAACCUAAGCGGUCUCCAG
Molecule: long non-coding RNA, 4685 nt
Filed under: Homo sapiens (human)
Lineage: Eukaryota; Metazoa; Chordata; Mammalia; Primates; Hominidae
Description: HSALNT0379599
Source: RNAcentral